This 529-nucleotide ribosomal RNA is filed under the name uncultured Gammaproteobacteria bacterium. RNAcentral's name for it is "bacterial SSU rRNA". It matches the Rfam family "Bacterial small subunit ribosomal RNA", at positions 87 to 615 of the family's 1533-position model. Lineage: Bacteria; Pseudomonadati; Pseudomonadota; Gammaproteobacteria. The record is from RNAcentral.
GAUGGCGAGUGGCGGACGGGUGAGUAACACGUAGGAAUCUACCUUUAAGUGGGGGACAACCUGGGGAAACUCAGGCUAAUACCGCAUAAUCUCUACGGAGCAAAGCUGGGCCUUUGGCCUGGCGCUUUUAGAUGAGCCUGCGUCAGAUUAGCUUGUUGGUGGGGUAAAGGCCUACCAAGGCAAUGAUCUGUAGCUGGUCUGAGAGGAUGAUCACCCACACUGGGACUGAGAUACGGCCCACACUCCUACGGGAGGCAGCAGUGGGGAAUAUUGGACAAUGGGCGAAAGCCUGAUCCAGCAAUGCCGCGUGUGUGAUGAACGCCUUAGGGUUGUAAAGCACUUUCAGUGGGGAAGAAAGGUACGGGGUUAAUACCCCUGUGCUGUGACGUUAUCCACAAAAGAAGCACCGGCUAACUCUGUGCCAGCAGCCGCGGUAAUACAGAGGGUGCAAGCGUUAAUCGGAAUUACUGGGCGUAAAGAGCUCGUAGGUGGAAGUUUAAGUCAGAUGUAAAAGCCCUGGGCUCAACCU